CACCUCAAUGCCAGGAUCCACCCACGGGCCGGCUGCCUUACACACUUGGCUAGGUGAAGAGAGUAGCUGGUUUCUCUCCCAUCCUGACUCCAGAGGCACCUCUCCCCUUAUUAUCCUGCAGGUAACACACCAGCUAUUCCUCCUUGUCUUACCUAACUUUAACUUCCCAAAUUUGUAUUUAUUUUUUUUCCCUAUCAUUUUGCUGUUCGCCAAAGGACUGAACUCUGCAAACAAAAUGUGCACCCUAAUGAUAGCCACUACCCCACUAUUUUUGUGUCAAUCCAUUUGUCAACAGAAGUCCUCUUCCAAGCUUAUUCGGAACUGGCACACCCUGAUGGCAAGUUCCUGCUUGUAAAAGAAACGAC
Non-coding RNA from Pelobates cultripes (western spadefoot toad), 365 nucleotides. The record is from the annotation of a GenBank genome assembly. Lineage: Eukaryota; Metazoa; Chordata; Amphibia; Anura; Pelobatidae.